RNAcentral lists this ribosomal RNA (253 nucleotides) under uncultured bacterium. RNAcentral describes it as "partial 16S ribosomal RNA". It matches the Rfam family "Bacterial small subunit ribosomal RNA", at positions 524 to 776 of the family's 1533-position model. The record is from RNAcentral.
UACGUAGGGGGCAAGCGUUGUCCGGAAUCAUUGGGCGUAAAGAGCGUGUAGGCGGCCCGAUAAGUCCGCUGUGAAAGUCCAGGGCUCAACCCUGGGAUGCCGGUGGAUACUGUCGGGCUCGAGUCCGGAAGAGGAGUGUGGAAUUCCUGGUGUAGCGGUGAAAUGCGCAGAUAUCAGGAGGAACACCAAUGGCGAAGGCAGCACUCUGGGACGUGACUGACGCUGAGGAGCGAAAGCGUGGGUAGCAAACAGG